AUACGUAGGUGACAAGCGUUAUCCGGAUUUACUGGGCGUAAAGGGCGUGUAGGCGGUCUUGCAAGUCAGAAGUGAAAUUCCUGAGCUCAACUCGGGCGCUGCUUCUGAAACUGCAGGACUUGAGUGCUGGAGGGGAUAGCGGAAUUCCUAGUGGAGCGGUAAAAUGCGCAGAUAUUAGGAAGAACACCGGUGGCGAAGGCGGCUAUCUGGACAGUAACUGACGCGGAGGCGCGAAAGCGUGGGGAGCAAACAGGAUUAGAUACCCGGGUUGUCCACGCCGUAAACGAUGAAUACUAGGUGUAGGGGGUAUCGACUCCCUCUGUGCCGCAGUUAACACAAUAAGUAUUCCGCCUGGGGAGUACGGCCGCAAGGUUGAAACUCAAAUGAAUUGACGGGG
RNAcentral lists this ribosomal RNA (397 nucleotides) under uncultured bacterium. Its description in RNAcentral is "partial 16S ribosomal RNA". It matches the Rfam family "Bacterial small subunit ribosomal RNA", at positions 523 to 918 of the family's 1533-position model. The record is from RNAcentral.